UACUACGGGAGGCAGCAGUAGGGAAUCUUCCGCAAUGGACGAAAGUCUGACGGAGCAACGCCGCGUGAGCGAUGAAGGCCUUCGGGUCGUAAAGCUCUGUUGUCAGGGAAGAACAAGUACCGGAGUAACUGCCGGUACCUUGACGGUACCUGACCAGAAAGCCACGGCUAACUACGUGCCAGCAGCCGCGGUAAUACGUAGGUGGCAAGCGUUGUCCGGAAUUAUUGGGCGUAAAGCGCGCGCAGGCGGUUCCUUAAGUCUGAUGUGAAAGCCCCCGGCUCAACCGGGGAGGGUCAUUGGAAACUGGGGAACUUGAGUGCAGAAGAGGAGAGCGGAAUUCCACGUGUAGCGGUGAAAUGCGUAGAGAUGUGGAGGAACACCAGUGGCGAAGGCGGCUCUCUGGUCUGUAACUGACGCUGAGGCGCGAAAGCGUGGGGAGCGAACAGGAUUAGAUACCCUGGUAGUCCACGCCGUAAACGAUGAGUGCUAAGUGUUAGAGGGUUUCCGCCCUUUAGUGCUGCAGCAAACGCAUUAACCACU
RNAcentral lists this ribosomal RNA (540 nucleotides) under bacterium A4T_VP6_E1. RNAcentral's name for it is "bacterial SSU rRNA". It matches the Rfam family "Bacterial small subunit ribosomal RNA", at positions 337 to 868 of the family's 1533-position model. The record is from RNAcentral.